UGGGGAAUAUUGCACAAUGGGCGAAAGCCUGAUGCAGCAACGCCGCGUGAGUGAUGAAGGCCUUCGGGUUGUAAAGCUCUGUCUUUUGGGACGAUAAUGACGGUACCAAAGGAGGAAGCCACGGCUAACUACGUGCCAGCAGCCGCGGUAAUACGUAGGUGGCAAGCGUUGUCCGGAUUUACUGGGCGUAAAGGAUGCGUAGGCGGAUUUUUAAGUGAGAUGUGAAAUACCCGGGCUUAACUUGGGUGCUGCAUUUCAAACUGGGAAUCUAGAGUGCGGGAGAGGAGAAUGGAAUUCCUAGUGUAGCGGUGAAAUGCGUAGAGAUUAGGAAGAACACCAGUGGCGAAGGCGAUUCUCUGGACCGUAACUGACGCUGAGGCAUGAAAGCGUGGGUAGCAAACAGGAUUAGAUACCCUGGUAUCCACGCCGUAAACGAUGAGUACUAGGUGUAGGAGGUAUCGACCCCUUCUGUGCCGCAGUUAACACAAUAAGUACUCCGCCUGGGAAGUACGAUCGCAAGAUU
This 523-nucleotide ribosomal RNA is filed under the name uncultured bacterium. Its description in RNAcentral is "partial 16S ribosomal RNA". It matches the Rfam family "Bacterial small subunit ribosomal RNA", at positions 355 to 895 of the family's 1533-position model. The record is from RNAcentral.